RNAcentral lists this unclassified non-coding RNA (353 nucleotides) under soil metagenome. RNAcentral's name for it is "partial contains 5.8S ribosomal RNA, internal transcribed spacer 2, and large subunit ribosomal RNA". The stretch from base 1 to 120 matches the Rfam family "5.8S ribosomal RNA", at positions 35 to 154 of the family's 154-position model. The record is from RNAcentral.
GAUGAAGAACGUAGCGAAAUGCGAUAAGUAAUGUGAAUUGCAGAAUUCAGUGAAUCAUCGAAUCUUUGAACGCACAUUGCGCCCGCCAGUAUUCUGGCGGGCAUGCCUGUUCGAGCGUCAUUACAACCCUCAGGCCCCCGGGCCUGGCGUUGGGGAUCGGCGGAGCCCCCCGUGGGCACACGCCGUCCCCCAAAUACAGUGGCGGUCCCGCCGCAGCUUCCAUCGCGUAGUAGCUAACACCUCGCGACUGGAGAGCGGCGCGGCCACGCCGUAAAACACCCAACUCUUCUGAAGUUGACCUCGAAUCAGGUAGGAAUACCCGCUGAACUUAAGCAUAUCAAUAAGGCGGAGGA